UCUCGUCUCCCAUGGUGACAGAAUGAAGAGGAGGGCGAUAAACCUGCUCUGGUGUCUAUUCCCAACCCGCUCUACGUCGGUUCCAGAGCCUUCAACCAACCCUUUGGUAUCAAUGAACAAUGUGAAGAGGCUGAACCAGCAGAACCAGCAGAACCAGCAGAACCAGCUCCUCAACUACUGGAUUUAUGAGAACAAUAACAACAUUAUGUGGGCGCUUAAGGAAGGGCUGGAGUUAAUUGACUUUCUGCAUUUGAACAAACUAUGCCGGGAAUAUGUAAAUAAAAUAUGACUUAGGCCUAUAUUUUCCAAAGACAAUGGCUGGGUUUCAAUCCGUGAAAACGCUGUCUGUGCUUUUUAAAAGGCGGAGAUGGCAUUACUGGCAAACACUAUUAGAAUUUACCUUAAAAUGUCAAACUUGUUAAAACGCGGUCUCCUUUAAAAAGGCGCAUUGUUAGCUGUCCUAUGCUCUACUCUAUUACAUGCUUUGAAUUUAACCCUAAACUCUGUUAAAGGUCUGUUUUCCCAAAAAAAUGUUAAGGGACGAGGCUGGAUUGAAAACUGGAUUGAAAACGCGACCCUCCACAGAAACAACACUGAUGCAAAAUGUCAGGCAUGUUUAUAUGACACUGUAUUAAAAUAUUCCUUCUAUGCA
Molecule: long non-coding RNA, 652 nt
Organism: Salvelinus sp. IW2-2015
Lineage: Eukaryota; Metazoa; Chordata; Actinopteri; Salmoniformes; Salmonidae
Source: RefSeq, a predicted model, not a curated record